UGCGUAGGUGGUUUAGCAAGUUGGUAGCGUAACCCCGGGGCUCAACCUCGGAACUACUACCAAAACUGUUGAACUUGAGUGCAGGAGGGGCAAUUGGAAUUCCUAGUGUAGCGGUGGAAUGCGUAGAUAUUAGGAGGAACACCAGUGGCGAAGGCGAAUUGCUGGACUGUAACUGACACUGAGGCACGAAAGCGUGGGGAGCAAACA
This 207-nucleotide ribosomal RNA is filed under the name uncultured bacterium. RNAcentral describes it as "partial 16S ribosomal RNA". It matches the Rfam family "Bacterial small subunit ribosomal RNA", at positions 568 to 774 of the family's 1533-position model. The record is from RNAcentral.